Molecule: ribosomal RNA, 507 nt
Filed under: uncultured Bacillota bacterium
Lineage: Bacteria; Bacillati; Bacillota
Description: bacterial SSU rRNA
Rfam family: Bacterial small subunit ribosomal RNA
Source: RNAcentral
GACGAACGCUGGCGGCGUGCCUAAUACAUGCAAGUCGAGCGCGGGAAGCAGACUGAAGCCUUCGGGCGGACGUCUGUGGAACGAGCGGCGGAUGGGUGAGUAACACGUGGGCAACCUGCCUGUAAGCUCGGGAUAACUAGCGGAAACGCUAGCUAAUACCGAAUAACGCUGCGCACCGCAUGGCGCGCAGAUGAAAGGCGGCGCAAGCUGCCACUUACAGAUGGGCCCGCGGCGCAUUAGCUAGUUGGUGGGGUAACGGCCUACCAAGGCGACGAUGCGUAGCCGACCUGAGAGGGUGAUCGGCCACACUGGGACUGAGACACGGCCCAGACUCCUACGGGAGGCAGCAGUAGGGAAUAUUCCGCAAUGGGCGAAAGCCUGACGGAGCGACGCCGCGUGAGCGAUGAAGGUCUUCGGAUCGUAAAGCUCUGUUGUUAGGGAAGAACAAGUACCGGAGUAACUGCCGGUACCUUGACGGUACCUAACCAGAAAGCCCCGGCUAACUAC